RNAcentral lists this ribosomal RNA (401 nucleotides) under uncultured bacterium. RNAcentral's name for it is "bacterial SSU rRNA". It matches the Rfam family "Bacterial small subunit ribosomal RNA", at positions 356 to 774 of the family's 1533-position model. The record is from RNAcentral.
CGGGAAUUUUGGGCAAUGGGCGAAAGCCUGACCCAGCAACGCCGCGUGAGGGAUGAAGUAUUUCGGUAUGUAAACCUCGAAAGAAUGGGAAGAAUAAAUGACGGUACCAUUUAUAAGCUCCGGCUAACUACGUGCCAGCAGCCGCGGUAAUACGUAGGGAGCAAGCGUUGUUCGGAUUUACUGGGCGUAAAGGGCGCGUAGGCGGCGCGGUAAGUCACUUGUGAAAUCUCUGAGCUUAACUCAGAACGGCCAAGUGAUACUGCUGUGCUAGAGUGCGGAAGAGGCAACCGGAAUUCUUGGUGUAGCGGUGAAAUGCGUAGAUAUCAAGAGGAACACCUGAGGCGAAGGCGGGUUGCUGGGCCGACACUGACGCUGAUGCGCGAAAGCCAGGGGAGCAAAUG